UUCAUUUUUAACACUGUUCAUAAUUUCUUAAAAUUGUCAAAAUGUUUCUAACGUCCAAAUCAUCCCGUCUGUUAUUGAUUUAUUGAUUUUGAUGAAGCUUGGAAUGCAUAUUUAUAUUCAAAAGAUCUUGUUUCCUUUUUAUAUUCGCGCCUAUCGGAUUAUAACUUUUUUUAAUUAUGGCCCUUGAUUGUACGAAAAAUCACGCUCUUAGCUUGUGGUCCCUCAAGAUGUCACAAUUAUUAUUUGAUUUUAAAAAUCAUGUUUUUGUAUAUUCCGAUUUAAAAAAAAACGUUUGAAUAUAUCACUGUUACACCUUAAUGACGGUUGAGUUCGAAUUUCGUGAAAAUCGGACAAAAUUGCCGAACAAAAUUGUUAACUAUGUCGUCUGCUAGUGGUGUGUGAGUGAGGUGUACAGUGAGAGUGAGUGCAUGUCAAUCCAGGUGUGUGCUGUGAAUACACACAGGUCAGGUGAGGAGUGAAGCAAGAUGGGCUGUGUGUGUAUAGGAGUGAAGGUGAUAUGAAGGUGGCCUAAAGUUGAUACUGAUGAUUGAAUAAAGAAUAUUAUAAAUCUACUAAACAUGGUAGCAGAGCGUUAAUCCAAAUCUCUACCUGAAGUUGAAUAUACAGGCUGCAUCUUUCAAAACACCACCAGCUUUUAAUAGCUCAGAAAAACCAUAUGGUCGAUGGCUGGAAGAAAUCAAGGCAUGGAGACGUUUAACUGAUUUACCUGCUGAAAAGCAAGCUUUAGCCAUAGCUCUAAGCCUGGAUGAGAAGGAUACAAGUGGAAUUCGGGAUAAAGUGUUUAAUGAACUUUCAACUGAUGAACUUAGUUCUGAUGAUGGUGUAAGAAAAUUGACAGAUUUUAUGGACAAGCUAUUCAAAAAGGAUGAAUUAACAGAAGCUUAUGAAGCAUAUUUAGAGUUCGACAAAUUUAGAAAAAAAAAGACAUGUUUACUGAAGUUUACGUCAGUGAAUUUGAAAAGAGAUAUAACAGAUCAAAGAAGUUUAGAAUGGAUCUACCUGCUGCUGUUCUAGCCUUCAAAUUACUGGAUGGAGCUGGGUUAGAGAGUAAAAAUCGUCAAUUGGUGUUAACUGGAGUAGAUUACAGUAAGACUGAGACUUUAUUUAAACAAAUGGGUAAUUCAUUAAAGAAAUUCUUUGGUAAGCAGUCGAUUUCUGUUGUCAUGUGAUGGUAUCAAAAGUGCGUCAUCUAGUAUUAAAGUCGAACAAGACACCUAUAUUAGCGAGAGAGAAGAAGAUGUGUUGGAAGCGAGGAAUUUAAGCAGAUACGGAAGGGGAAGUAACUUUGAUUUUAGAAGAGGUCAGGGAAGAAUAAGAGGAGGAUUUAACUAUGGAUAUAGAGGAGUGUUUUAUCAAAGUAAUCAGCGUAAUCAGUAUUAUCGGAGUAAUCAAGUAUCGAAACCAAUAAAUCCUAUGUCCUUUGAUGGAACACCAUUAAAGUGUCGUAGUUGUGAGUCAAUCCGACAUCUGGUAAUAGACUGCCCCUAUUCUUACGAGAACAUGAGUAAGUCACAAGAGCCAGAAAUAGCUAUUCCAUUCACCGGAAGUGAGCCUAUAGAAAUGAAGACAUUUGCAAGUGAAACAUUAUAUUCGGCAGUUUUAGAUAGUGCAUGUUCUUCAACAGUUGCAGGUAAGUGGCGGCUUCAAUGUUAUCUAGACAGUUUAAGUGAUAGGGAACGCCAGGGUAUUGAACGGUUAGAUAGUGAUACUAUUUUCAAAUUUGGAGGGGGUUGUAAAUUGAAACCAUUAGGAAUGUGUUUUAGAAACAGAUGUGGAAGAUAGUGAUAUACUAUGAAACGUGCUAAAGUAAAACUUGAUCUAAAAAAUGAUUCUGCACAAAUAUUCGGCACAGAUGUAAAACUCCAUUGUUUUACGGCUGGACAUUAUUGUAUAUUAGAACAAUCUAAUAUAGAUAUUAGAGACGCAUUUGAAGUUUUUCAGGCUGAGGGUACUACCGAAAAAUAUAAAAUGGUGCAAAAACUUCAUAAACAAUUUACGCAUCCCACAAGUUGUAGACUAAAAACCUUAACAAAAGAUGCUGGAUUUUAUGAAACAGAAUUUCAGAAGGUUAUUGAUGAAAUCUCGGAUAAUUGUCAAGUAUGUAAACGUUAUAAACGGACUCCAUCCCGACCGGUAGUAUGUACCCCAAUGGCUACAGAAUUUAAUGAAUGUGUAGCAAUGGAUUUGAAACAGUGGAAUACAAAUGUUUAUUUCUUGCAUUUAAUUGAUCUUGCAACACGAUUCAGUUUGGCAAGUGUUAUUUAUCAAAAGACCCCUGAUAUCAUAGUAGAGGAAGUUAUGGUAAAAUGGAUAGGUGGUGGUUUUGGUGCUCCUAAAAAGUUUUUUGCUGAUAAUGGUGGUGAAUUUGCGAAUGAUCAAUUCAGGGACAAGUGCGAAAAUUUGAAUAUUCAGGUGAUUAAUACAGCUGCCAGGAGUCAUUGGCAGAACGGACUUUGUGAGCGGAAUCAUUCAGUUGCAGACGAUUGUGUAUCUAAGCUUUUGGAGGACGAUCCACAAAUGAAACUUAGGGUAGCAUUAGCCUGGGCCGUGAAUGCGAAAAACAGCCUACAGAUGGUUUAUAGGUGGAGCCCCCAUCAACUUGUUUUUGGUGUGAACCCAAAUUUACCAUCAUUUAUGGAAGAUAAACCUCCUGCUUUAGAAGGGAAAACAAUUAGUGCAAAAUUUGCCAGCCAUUUGAACGCGUUACAUGCUGGAAGAAGAGCUUUCAUUCAGGCAGAAGCCUCUGAAAGAAUUCGUAGGGCAUUAAGACAUCAAAUCAGCACAUCUAGUGGUCCAUUCGAACAAGGGGAACUUGUUCAUUAUAAAAGAGACGACAAGUGGAGAGGACCUGGUAAAGUGAUUGGGCAGGACGGAAAAGUGGUUUUUGUUCGACACGGUAGUGUAUAUGUAAGAAUUCAUCCAUGUCGUUUAACCAAGGUUGGAGAAGAAUUCACUGAGCAGAAAAAUGAUAAAGUUAAUGAAGAUAAAUUGGAUGGAAAUGAAAAUGAUAAAAUUGUAUCGGUUGAAUCCGAUAGUGAUGAAGAUUUGGUAACUCAGAAAGAAAAUUAAACUGUAGGUAGAAUUGGCACCAGAACUGUUCAAAAGUUAACGGAUUUACCAUGUAAUAAUGAGCAAAUUAAAUAUAAGUUGAAAAAUAGCGAUCAGUGGAUUGAAGCGACAGUAUUGAGUAGAGGUGGUAAAGCGACGGGUAGAAAUUGGGCGUAUUUGAAUAUUAGAGACAGUGGUGAUGAUAAUGCAAAAGGUGUAGAUUUUGUGAAUGACUUGAGUGAAUGGAAACCUUCAGACCAAUGUGGUGAGAUAGUAGAAAUAAAUGAAGCGUCGUCUGAUGUGAAAUUAGCUAAGCAUGCAGAAUUAGACAAUUGGAAACGUUUUAAAGUGUAUGAGGAAGUGCCAGAUCGAGGGCAACCAACACUUUCAACUAGAUGGGUGAUAACAAAGAAAAUGAUCAAUAACAACGAAUCUCUGAAAGCUCGUUUAGUGGCUCGUGGGUUUGAAGAAUCAGAUAUACAGGCAGAUUCGCCUACUGCUACAAAAGAAACUUUAAGAAUAUUUCUUUCAUUAGCCACAACAAUGAACUGGGCAUGUCAAUCAAUUGACUUCAAAGCAGCUUUCCUGCAGGGAGAUGAUAUUUCUCGUGAAGUGUAUUUAAAACCUCCAAGAGAGGUGGAUGCUAUAGGUAUUAUCUGGAAACUGAUAAAAUGUGUCUAUGGAUUAAGUGAUGCAUCCAGGAAUUGCUAUAUGAGUGUGAAAAAUAAUUUACUUAAGAUAUAGGAUGUACAAUAUCUAGCAUUGAUCCUGCAUUUUUCUUUUUCUUUUAUGAAAAUUGUAUAUCUGGUUUGUUUCUGACUCAUGUUGAUGAUUUUCUAUGGUGUGGAAAUGAUAAGUUUAAAACUUCGGUUAUAGAUAAAGUACUUGAAUCAUUUGUAAGUGGUAAACAAGAAUCAGGCUUAUUUAAAGGAGCUAAAUCGCUAACAUUUGGGACCUAGAAAUUGACAAAAGUGGGUCGCAACGCAUAUAAUACUGUAAUAUGAAUGUAUAUAAACUCAUUUACAUUCAAUGGUUUCCAUUUUUACUCCAAUUUCAAAUCAGUUAUGUUCGGCGAAAUAAGCCAGCAGUCUCAAGCAAGUGCAAAUUUCUAGCGUCUGGUUAUUCCAGUCUACAUACGCCGUUUGAUUUGAUGCAAUGUGUCUAGCCUCGUCCCUCGAGUCUCUUGAUACAACUGGGGCUGAAGCGCAUUAUGGUACACGAUUCGUGUACCAAUGGUAAAAUGUUUAUUUUGUCUUAAAUAUUGGAUAUCAAAAGCCCAUCUUUUUUCCGGUAAGAUCACAACAUGAAUGUUGAUUUAAUUUGACAAAAAAAUCGUGUUUUCAAUGUUGAAGACUUUGGAUGAUAUUGAGUUAGAGACUUAGCUACUUUAAGUAUAUUGGCUUAGAAUUACAGAAUUGUAUUAUAUUACACCAAGAAUCUUACAUUAAGCAAGUUGAAAAUAUUAAUAUAAAUGGCGCUAGGUAUCAAAAUAAGGAUGGUGAUUUGAAUGAAUUUGAAAUUACCAAUUUAAGAGAAGUCAUUGGACAGUUAAGUUGGGUUUCAAAUCAAUCUCGUCCAGAUCUAUAUUUUAAAUUUAGGUGUUUCCAUGAAAAGGCCAAAAAUUGAGCAUUUAAUAUUAGCACAUAAAUGUGUAAAGAAGCUGAAAGGUGACAGUUGUAAAGUAAUGUUUCCUUGUUUAGGUUCUUUAAAAGACAUUAUGGUUAUUGUAUUUUCUGAUGCUUCAUAUGCAAAUUUGUGUGAUAAUGUUUCAAGUGCUGAGGGAUAUGUAAUAUUUUUACAGGGUAGUUCUGAUUUAGUUUGUCCAAUAGUGUGGUGUUCCAAGAAAAUUAGGAGGGUUGUAAAGAGCACUAUAGCUGCAGAAACCUUAGCAUUAUGUGAUGCUCUAGACAUGGCAGUUUAUGUCGGAGCGAUUUUAAGUGAGAUUGUAAAUACAGCACUGUAGUUAUUGUAAAAUUCCAAUUUUUUGUUAUGUUGAUAAUAAGUCACUGUAUGAUAAUGUAUAUUCUACAAAACUUGUUCAGGAAAAACGUUUACGUAUUGAUAUUGCAAUUGUUAAGCAAAAUUUGGAGAACGGGGAAAUUGGUAAAAUUGAGUGGGUUCCAAACAGUCAUCAACUUUCUGAUUGUUUGACAAAACGUGGGGCUGCUUGAAAAACUUUAAGUGAAACCUUUAGAUCUGGAAGAUUGUGUUUUAAAAACAAAUAAUUUGUAAUUGUAUAUAUCAUAUAUUUAAACUCUAAUUUUUAGAUUUCAAAGAUAAAAUGUGGUAAUAAGAAAAAAUUAUAUAUAACGCAAAUGGUGUAAAUAUGUGGUAUUAAGGUUGUAGACCAUCUAGAGGUCACAAUGUUUUUCCAAUUUUGAAGCAACCUUAAAUUUAUGCUUAUAUCACAAAGGUCUUAGUUCCUUUCGAUAUUCACGCAUAUCGGAUCGUAACUUCCUGAAUUAUGGCCCCUGAUUGUACGAAAAAUCACUUUUUUAGCUUCAGGUUCCUCUAGAGGUCACAAUUAUUAUCCGAUUUAUAAAAACGUUCAAAUAUACUCAGCGCCAUGGAAAACGCAUCACUUUUUUCCCCAAAUAUUUUAUUACUAGGUGGAUUUGUAUGUAUAAUAUUAUUCAAUACUAUGAACUAUCGUUUCACACAAUGCUCCCAAACGCAAAAAAUAUCGGCCCGUGUGCACCAAAAAAAAAUUGCACGAGAUGCACAUGAAAAACCCACUAUUCACGUGCAGCAUUGUGUGUGAGCCCUAUAAAAGCAUGUUGCAGUACAUGAACUGUGAAACGUCAAUCUGUCGUAAUUUGUUGUUGGACGUGUGAAGGAAUCGAGCUAGAGAUGCCGAGACUUACUGAAAAUCAACGGAAUGAAGCCAUGGGAAUCUCCAGGGCCCUUAUUCACGAAAACUUAAACUAAGUUACAACCGAAAUUUUAAGAAAUACUGCAACUUCAUUGGAUAUAUGCAAAUUGAUUUUACUGGUCAGCCAAUCGAAUUGCAGUAUUUCUUAAAAUUUUGAUUGUAUCUUAGUUUAAGUUUUCGUGAAUAAGGGCCCAGGACUGGCAUGUCUACACGUGCUAUUGCCAGACACUUCAAUUGUCAUCAAUCUACUAUUGUAAGGUUGGUGGAACGUGUUCAAGUUACUGGAUCAACACGUGACCGUCAACGUCCUGGUCCACAACGCGUUACAACCCAGGCUCAAGACCGCUACAUCAGGGUCACUCAUCUGCGUGACAGAUUCCGCCCAGCGACUCGAACAGGUGCAGAAGUCGUCGGAGGUCAAGGACCAGUAAGUGCCAACACCGUAAGACGUCGUCUAAGAGAAAUAGGACUCCGUGCACAACGACCUUAUGUUGGAGCUAUCCUCAGGGAUCAUCACCGUUAGCGGCGUUUGAUAUGGGCUCAAGGACACCAGACAUGGAGAAGAGUAGACUGGCAAAGUGUGCUCUUCAGUGAUGUGGAGACGUCUUGGGGAACGUCUUGCAGACUGCUGCAUCUUCAAAACGAAUCGAUGGGGUGGGGGAAGUGUAUUGGUGUGGGGAGGCUUCACAUUUCAUCACCGGACCGCCCUACACAUUUGCAGGGGUCGCGUUAAUGCUGUAGCCUACCGUGAUGAUGUCUUGCAACCAAUUGUUCCGAUGUUUCGAGCGCACCCACAGCUUCAGCACUUCCAACAGGAUAAUGCACGUCCGCAUACCGCCUGUUUUAGUAUGGACUACCUGGCUGCUAACAACAUCAAUGUCUUGGACUGGCCAGCCAUGUCUCUGGACACGGCACCGAUAGAACAUGUCUGGGAUGAGAUUGGACGCCGUCUGUAUCGGAGACCACAGAUGCACACCAUUGCUGCUUUAGAAGCUGCUCUUGUCCAAGAAUGGAACAAUUUGCCUCAGGCCUUCUUUCAAACAUUGGUAAAUUCCAUGCGACGUCGCUGCACAGCGUGCGUAAGAGUCCGUGGAGGACACACGCGCUACUGACAUCCGUGUCAUACUUUUGGUUUUGACCCCUCUGACUUUGUACCGUUGGUUACAGAUUAAACAUCCAUAAGUGUACAAAUGUGUUGUUAUUGACGUGUUCCCAUUUGAAUAUUGUUCACAAUAAGAAGCAAAAUAAAUAAGAUAUGUUUAUAGGAUCAUUUUGUUAUACGAAAAAAUAAGUGAUGCGUUUUCCAUGGCGCUCAGUAUAUAUCACAGUUACACCAUAAUUUUGGCUGAGUUUAAAUUUCAUGAAAAUCGGUCUAAAACUGCCGGACAAAAUGGCAAAUAGUGUAUAACAUCUGGUAUAUCAAAGUUGUGGACCCUCUAGAUGUCACUAUUUUGAUCCGUUUUGAUGAAACUUGAAAUACAUGUUUAUAACCGAAAGAUGUUGGUUCCUUUCGAUGUUUGCGCGUAUCGAAUCCUAACUUCCUGAAUUAUGGCCACUGAUGGUACGAAAAAUCGUGUUUUUAGCUUGUGAUCCCUCUAGAGGUCACAAUUAUUAUCCGAUUAAAUAAAAAUGUUUGAAUAUAUCACCGUAAUUUUGAUUGGAGUUCGGAUUUUAAAAACCGUUUAAAUAUAUGAGAAUUGGCCCAAAACUGACAGACAAAAUGGCCUCCUCUCGUUCUUAAAUAGUGUAAAAAUAUGGUAUAUCAAGGUUGUGGACCCUCUAGAGGUCACAAUUUUCCUCUGAUAUUUAUGAAUCUUGAAAUGAAAGUUUAUAACCCAAAGAUCUCAGUUCCUUUUCAUUUUCCUGAAUUAUGGCCCCCAAUUGUACGAAAAAUGGCAUUAUUAGCUUGUGGACCCUAGAUCAGUCAUAAUUUUUUUAUCUGAUUUAAAAAAAAGUUUAAAUAUAUCACCGAUGAGUUCGAAUUUCGUAAAAAUCGGACCCUAACUGGCAGAAAAAAUGGCUGCCCCUCGUACUCAAAUAGCGUAAAAAUAUGGUAUAUCAAUGUUGUGGACCCUCUAGAGCUCAGAAUUUUGAUCCGAUUAUGAUAAAACUUGAAAUACAUGUUUAUAACCCAAACAUAUUAGUUCCUUUUGAUAUUCACGCAUAUCGGUUCGUAACUUCCUGAAUUAUGGCCCCUGAUUUUACGAAAAAUUGUGUUUUUAGCUUGUGGUCUCUCAAGAGGUCACAAUUUUUAUCUGAUCAAAAAAAAAAAUGUUAAAAUAUGUCACCGUUACACCGUAUUGUUGGUUGAGUUCAAAUUGCAUGAACAUCAGACCAAAACUGCCAGACAAAAUGGGUCAUCGACGCGAAUAGUGAAACCAUCUGGUAUAUCAAGGUUGUGGACCCUCUAGAGCUCACAAUUUUGAUCCGAUUUUGAUGAAACUGGAAAUGCAUGUUUAUAACCCAAGAUCUUGGUUGGUGUCGAAAUUUGGGCAUAUCGGAUUGUAACUUCCUGAAUUAUGGCCCUUGAUGUUAUGAAAAAUCGUUUUUUUAUACGCCAACAUUGAAAUGUGGACGUAUAUUGCCGUCGCCCUCGUCCGUCCGUCUGUCGGUCCAUCCGCCCGUCCGUCCAUCGGCCACAAUUUCUUGUGAACGCUCUAUUGCCAAAAGUUAUCAUCCAAUUGUGUUAAAAUUGAUAUAUAUUGUUUACACUAGUGAGAUGAAGAAGCCUAUUUAAUUUCAAUAAUUUCCGUUUAUUACGUCUAGAGUUAUGGCCCUUGUUUCACUUUGUUGAACUUUGUGAAAGCUCUAAUACCAAAAGUUAACAUACGAUCUUUGUGAAAUUUAUAUGCAAUAUUUAAGUUAGUGAAACGAAGAAGCCUAUUGAAUUUCAACAAUUUCUGUUUAUUACGUCUAGCGUUAUGGUCCUUGUUUCACUUUAUUGAACCUUGUGAACGCUCUAACUCCAAAAGUUAUCAUCCGAUCUUUCUGAAAUUUGCAUGCAUUAUUUAAAUUAGUGAAACAAAGAAGCCUAUUGAAUUUCAGCAAUUUCCGUUUAUUACGUCUAGAGUUAUGGCUCUUGUUUCACUUUAUUGAACCUUGUGAACGCCGCUCUAACUCCAAAAGUUAUCAUCCGAUCUUUCUGAAAUUGACAUGCAUUAUUUAAAUUAGUGAACCUUGUGAACGCGCCAACGCCAAAAGUUAUCAUUCGAUCUUUGUGAAAUUUAUAUGCAUGAUUUAAAUUAGUAAAACGAAGAAGCCUUUUGAAUUUCAGCAAUUUCCGUUUAUUACAUCUAGAGUUAUGGCCCUUGUUUCACUUUAUUGAUCCUUGUGAACGCUCUCAUGUCAAAAGUUAUCAUCCGAUCUUUCUGAAAUUUAUGGGCAUUAUUUAGAUUGCUAAAACGAAGAAGCCUAUUGAAUUUCAGCAAUUCCCGUUUAUUACGUCGAGUGUUAUGGCCCGUAUUUCACUUUAUUGAUCCUUGUGAACGCUCUAAUCGUCAUAAGUUAUCAUCCGAUCUUUCUGAAAUUUAUAUGCAUUAUUUAGGUUACUGAAACGAAAAAGCCUAUUGUAUUUCAGCAAUUUCCGUUUAUUACGUCUAGAGUUAUGGCCCUUGUUUCACUUUAUUGAUCCUUGUGAAAGGUCUAACGUCAAAAGUUAUCAUUCAAUCUUUCUGAGAAUUAUAUGCAUUAUUUAAAUUAGUGAGACGAAGAAUCCUAUUGAAUUUCAGCAAUUUCGGUUUAUUACGUCUAGUGUUAUGGCCCUUGUUUCACUUUAUUGAACCUUGUGAACGCUCUAACUCCAAAAGUUAUCAUCCGAUCUUUCUGAAAUUUACAUGCAUUAUUUAGAAUGGUGAAGCCUAUUGAAUUUCAGCAAUUUCCUUUUAUUACGUCUAGAGUUAUGACCCUUGUUUUACUUUAUUGAACCUUGUGAACGCUCUAACGCCCAAAGUUAUCAUUCGAUCUUUGUGAAAUUUAUAUGCAGUAUUUAGAUUAGUGAAACAGAGAAGCCUAUUGAAUUUCAGCAAUUUCCGUUUAUUACGUCUAGAGUUAUGGCCCUUGUUUCACUUUAUUGUUCCUUGUGAACGCUCUAACGCAAAAAGUUAUCACCCGAUCUUUGUGAAAUUUAUAUGCAUGAUGUAAAUUAGUGAAACGAAAAAGCCUAUUGAAUUUCAGCAAUUUACAAUAAUUACUUCUAGAGUUAUUGCCCUUGUUUCACUUUGUUAAACCUUGUAAAUGCUCGAUUGAUGAUAGUUAUCAUCCAAUAUGUAUGAAAUUUAUAUGCAUCAUUUAAAUUUGUGAAACAGGUCUAUUGAAUUUCAGCAAUUUCCGUCAAUAAUUUCUAGAGUUAUGGCGAUUGUGAAUGACAAAAGUGAUCAUGUGAUCUGUAUGAAAUUUAUAUGCAUUAUUUAAAUUAGUAAAACGAAGAAGCCUGUCAAAUUUCAACAAUUUCUGUAGAUUACUUCCAGAGUUGAGACCCUUGUUUCAGUUUGUAGAACCUUGUAAACCCUCAAACGACAAAAUUUAUAAUCUCAUCUGUAUGGAACUGUCUUGUAAAGGCCCCCAAUUACCUACAAAGGAAUAAAUAUGCGACAACCCUUGAGAACCGCUCGGACGAUUUAGCUGCUGUGGGCGUAUGUUUUGUUGCCUGGCAACCUAUCUUGUUUAGCUUGUUUUCUAUCCAUCCCUUGAAAAAUGUGGGCAUAUCCUGCCUGGCAGCGGCUGGUUUUUCCAGCCAACAGUAAUUUUUAUUGUCCCCCGCCUUUUGAAGAAAGCAGGGGACUAUUAAAAUGGGUCUGUCUGUCUGUCUGUCGUCCGUCACAUUUUUUGGGACACAAUUACUCUCCUUCUAAUUGACUUAGAAUGUUCAAACUUGGUGUAGGUGUUUAUUAGGUCAAUGCCUUGAUGGAGUUCGAAGAUGAUCAUUUUCUGCUUAGGGUAAGCACAAGGGAGAACAGAACCACGCCGGAAAAUCUGGAUGAACUUUGCAGGGAUCGAACACCCGACCUCCAGGCUAGCGAGCUAGCGUCUUACCCACUUAGCCAUGUGAUCCCCAGGGAUGAAGGCAUAGUUAAAGAAGAGAUUACUGUAAGUGAUGGAGAUACGAUAAAUAAAGUAAAAGUAUAUCAUACACCUAAAGCUACCACCCCACCUACACCAACACUUGGUCCUAAUACAGAUAAACAAAUACUUCGUGAUUUCCUCAGCAGUGAUUACUGUUUACAAGGGGGAACAGGUUGGUGGAAACAUGAAUUUUGUUACAAUAAACAUGCUAGACAGUAUCAUGAUGGACCUGAAGGCAGACAAGUUAUUUAUUUAGGUCACUGGAAUUUCCAGAAACAUUUAGAAUGGUUACAAAAACAUCCAUCCAAACGGCCUAAAGAGAAGGAUAGUAGAAAACAUAUAUCUUUAUUAUAUACGGAUGGUGAUAUAUGUGAUUUAACUGGUAAUAAAAGAAUAACAGAAGUUAGAUUAAAAUGUAUACCAAAUGAACAGCAUCCACAUGCAGUAGCAUUAUACUUAAUGGAGCCUAGUCCAUGUAAUUAUAUUUUAGGAAUUGAAUCACCUUUAUUUUGUUCAUUAUUAAUGAAAGCUGAUGAUGAUGGUAUUUUUACAUUAGCUGAUGUAAAAGGACUAUAAUUUGUUAAUUAAAAUUUGAAUUUUUUUUCUGAAAGUCAUUGUCAUCAAGUCUCAUAGUCAAAUUUAUCAUAUCAAUAACUAGUAAACUUUACUUGAUAUAUUCUUAUU
Patella vulgata (common limpet) is the source of this 11686-nucleotide RNA transcript. It is a transcript of the gene named endoplasmic reticulum lectin 1, with no coding region annotated. The record is from RefSeq and is a predicted model, not a curated record. Lineage: Eukaryota; Metazoa; Mollusca; Gastropoda; Patellidae. The transcript has 7 exons.